GCUCAGUUGGUAGAGCAUGAGACUCUUAAUCUCAGGGUCAUGGUUCCCAGCCCCAUG
RNAcentral lists this transfer RNA (57 nucleotides) under Rattus norvegicus (Norway rat). It matches the Rfam family "tRNA", at positions 10 to 63 of the family's 71-position model. Rfam says of the family: Transfer RNA (tRNA) molecules are approximately 80 nucleotides in length. Lineage: Eukaryota; Metazoa; Chordata; Mammalia; Rodentia; Muridae. The record is from Rfam by way of RNAcentral.